UGGAGACUAUAAAAGGGUAUGCAUGGAAGUCUAGAGAUCACAGAAAACACACACUUCAUUUCUUAAGAAAAAAGUUGUUGAAGUUUGAAGAGAUCAUGAGGGCAAUAUAUAUUAUCAGCAUCAUUAUAGUGAGCUUGAGCAUUUUCUCUUGUGGUGGGAAUGCUCGACCUCUUCCUGCUAAUACAGAUUAUCCAUGGGCAAUGUUUGCCCUAAGGCUUCAAUGGCCAGCUGGAUUUUGCGAGGUCAACAAUGAGUGUGAUACAAAGUCUCUCCUCAACACAUUUACCAUUCACGGCCUUUAUCCCUAUAACUCGAAGAUGACCCCAGGGUUAUAUUGUGACGGAACUGCCUUUGAUGUCAACUCUGUGAGUUCUCUCAGUCUGCAUUUAAUUUAUAAUACUUGUUAAAAUCCUUGCUCUAUUGUCUAUUAAAUAUGUUUUUUUGUGCUAACAUUUAUAUUUAUCUUGAAGAGUUGGAUAUGUUUGUUUGAUAAAAAUAAAUGAAAUUGCAUGUACAUGCAAUCUAUCCACAUGUUAAACUAAUUUCUCUUCUCCAUUAUUUUGAAAAUUAACAGGUAUCGGACUUUCAAGCAGAAAUGCAUCUUGCAUGGCCGAGUCAUGAAACUAACACUGAAGACAAACAAUUCUGGGAACACGAGUGGAAGAAACAUGGAAGGUGCUCAGAAGCUUUGUUGAAGCAGACUGAUUAUUUUAGAACGGCGCUUGAUUUUAGAAAGGCAUUUGAUAUAAUUGGGCUACUAAACCAGGAAGGUAAAUAUAUAAUUAACUAGUCUUUAAUUUGGUUCAUUGCUUCCUAAGGGGACAAACAAUGAGAUUACUAUUCAAAAAUGUGUAGGGAUUUACCCGAAUAACGACCUUUAUCGUCCUAAAAUGAUAAAAGAAGCAAUCAAAAAGCACUUGAAUGCUGUGCCAGAAGUCGAUUUCACCAAAAACGAAAACUCGGAAUAUGUGCUUACGGAUAUUAAUCUAUGUGUGAACCAACAAGCAACAAGGUUCGUAGAUUGCCCUACCGAUGACGCUACUGAUGAUUACCGCCUCAAAUUCGUAAGACUACCUUCUAAAAUGAAAACUGCGGAUCCGAGGACCAAUUCUAUAAUAUAGCACAAAUGGUACGGCUACAAAAUGGACUACUAUCUUGUUUAAUUAAUGCUUUUGGGAGUAUUAUCUAUGUAAAAUAGUUGAGUGCUAGGGUUGGAUAAUUAGUACUAUGAGGCCAACCUUUAGUACCUUGAAUAAUGUCCAUGUAGCAAAAGUUUAUGCCACUCUGGCCUUGGUGUGUAUGGAUAAUUAUAAUAAAUAACUACUUUUAUCAGCAAAAAAAUUAAAAUCCAAGUAUUUUCUUUUGUUUUUAUUUUUGAUAAGAACUUAAUUUUAUGUAGUUUGAUGGCAUUGUUUAUCUAGGAAACUGAUAUUUCCAC
RNAcentral lists this long non-coding RNA (1438 nucleotides) under Panax ginseng (ginseng). RNAcentral's name for it is "long non-coding RNA (PGIN_LNC010976)". The record is from RNAcentral. Lineage: Eukaryota; Viridiplantae; Streptophyta; Magnoliopsida; Apiales; Araliaceae.